RNAcentral lists this ribosomal RNA (440 nucleotides) under uncultured bacterium. Its description in RNAcentral is "partial 16S ribosomal RNA". It matches the Rfam family "Bacterial small subunit ribosomal RNA", at positions 338 to 795 of the family's 1533-position model. The record is from RNAcentral.
CCUACGGAUGGCAGCAGUGGGGAAUAUUGCACAAUGGGGGAAACCCUGAUGCAGCGACGCCGCGUGAAGGAAGAAGUUUUUCGGUAUGUAAACUUCUAUCAUCAGGGAAGAAAAUGACGGUACUUAACGAAUAAGCACCGGCUAACUACGUGCCAGCAGCCGCGGUAAUACGUAGGGGGCAAGCGUUACCCGGAUUAACUGGGUGUAAAGGGAGCGUAGGCGGGUUAGCAAGUCAGAAGUGAAAGCCCAGGGCUCAACCAUGGGACUGCUUUUGAAACUGUUGAACUAGAUUGCAGGAGAGGUAAGUGGAAUUCCUAGUGUAGCGGUAAAAUGCGUAGAUAUUAAGAGGAACACCAGUGGCGAAGGCGACUUACUGGACUGUAAAUGACGCUGAGGCUCGAAAGCGUGGGGAGCAAACAGGAUUAGAUACCCCUGUAGUC